GAUCCUGGCUCGGAUUGAACGCUGGCGGCAUGCUUUACACAUGCAAGUCGAACGGCAGCACAGGGAGCUUGCUCCCGGGUGGCGAGUGGCGCACGGGUGAGUAAUACAUCGGAACGUGUCCUGUUGUGGGGGAUAACGUGCUCGAAAGGGUGGCUAAUACCGCAUGAGACCUGAGGGUGAAAGCGGGGGAUCGCAAGACCUCGCGCAAUUGGAGCGGCCGAUGCCCGAUUAG
This 232-nucleotide ribosomal RNA is filed under the name uncultured bacterium. RNAcentral's name for it is "partial 16S ribosomal RNA". It matches the Rfam family "Bacterial small subunit ribosomal RNA", at positions 15 to 244 of the family's 1533-position model. The record is from RNAcentral.